RNAcentral lists this ribosomal RNA (501 nucleotides) under uncultured bacterium. Its description in RNAcentral is "partial 16S ribosomal RNA". It matches the Rfam family "Bacterial small subunit ribosomal RNA", at positions 30 to 523 of the family's 1533-position model. The record is from RNAcentral.
AUUGAACGCUGGCGGCAGGCUUAACACAUGCAAGUCGAGCGGGGGAAGGUAGCUUGCUACCGGACCUAGCGGCGGACGGGUGAGUAAUGCUUAGGAAUCUGCCUAUUAGUGGGGGACAACAUCUCGAAAGGGAUGCUAAUACCGCAUACGUCCUACGGGAGAAAGCAGGGGACCUUCGGACCUUGCGCUAAUAGAUGAGCCUAAGUCGGCUUAGCUAGUUGGUGGGGUAAAGGCCUACCAAGGCGACGAUCUGUAGCGGGUCUGAGAGGAUGUUCCGCCACACUGGGACUGAGAGCCGGACCAGACUCCUACGGGGGGCAGCAUUGGGGAAUAUUGGACAAUGGGGGGAACCCCGAUCCAGCCAUGCCGCGUGUGUGAAGAAGGCCUUAUGGUUGUAAAGCACUUUAAGCGAGGAGGAGGCUACUUUAGUUAAUACCUAGAGAUAGUGGACGUUACUCGCAGAAUAAGCACCGGCUAACUCUGUGCCAGCAGCCGCUGUAA